Molecule: ribosomal RNA, 497 nt
Filed under: uncultured bacterium
Lineage: Bacteria
Description: partial 16S ribosomal RNA
Rfam family: Bacterial small subunit ribosomal RNA
Source: RNAcentral
GAUGAACGCUGGCGGCGUGCCUAAUACAUGCAAGUCGAGCGAACAGACGAGGAGCUUGCUCCUCUGACGUUAGCGGCGGACGGGUGAGUAACACGUGGAUAACCUACCUAUAAGACUGGGAUAACUUCGGGAAACCGGAGCUAAUACCGGAUAAUAUAUUGAACCGCAUGGUUCAAUAGUGAAAGACGGUUUUGCUGUCACUUAUAGAUGGAUCCGCGCCGCAUUAGCUAGUUGGUAAGGUAACGGCUUACCAAGGCAACGAUGCGUAGCCGACCUGAGAGGGUGAUCGGCCACACUGGAACUGAGACACGGUCCAGACUCCUACGGGAGGCAGCAGUAGGGAAUCUUCCGCAAUGGGCGAAAGCCUGACGGAGCAACGCCGCGUGAGUGAUGAAGGUCUUCGGAUCGUAAAACUCUGUUAUUGAGGAAGAACAAAUGUGUAAGUAACUAUGCACGUCUUGACGGUACCUAAUCAAAAAGCCACGGCUAACUACGUG